Molecule: long non-coding RNA, 1762 nt
Organism: Ursus maritimus (polar bear)
Lineage: Eukaryota; Metazoa; Chordata; Mammalia; Carnivora; Ursidae
Source: Ensembl
GUCUCUGCUUUAUGUAUGUAUGUCCUUCAUACUUAGGAAUCCCUUUCUCUUAAGGUGAUGUGGACCACCUUCUUUUCCACAUGAGGCUGAUUUCCAGUUUGUCUCCAGCCUCUUUAUCUUACAACUUAGAAGAGUGUCGAAUAUUAAUUUUGAAAGAUUUUUUAAGAUUGCUUUUCGUACUGUUCCUCAGAGGCCUACGAUUUUCACCUUAAGACCUGGCAGGGCAGAGGGAGCGUGCUGUCAUAGAGAAGUCUGGGAAGACUGGCAAGCCCUCCGCUCUUCUGUCGCAGAAACUCUGCUUUACCUAGUCAGUAUUUUGGGAUUCCGUAAAGGAUAUUACCUGGGAUUAUGUGUGUUUGCGUGCUCCCGCUGCUUAGAAAAAGUAAAAAGCCACUGAAAUACUCAUCUUACCUGUGUAAUGAACUGGUUAAACUAAGGCUUAAACCUAUUCUGACCCUCCCUUUUACUUCCUAGAACAUGCAAACCCUCCAUCAUAUGAGCCGGGAAGGCUCCCAGGGCUGGCCCGGAGCGGGUGCUGGGCAGUCCGUGUGUCCAAAGGCCUGGCAGGGGACCUGUGAUUCUCACCAGCAUGGUGGUCCCGUCCUGGGUGGGGGUGGGGCGGCACCAAGCAAGCAUCUCAGUCAGCGGUGUCACCACGACUGUGAGCAAGACUCUGCAAGCCUGGGCUCUGCAGGAUGGGUUCAGCCACUCGAGAGGACAGCUGCAGAUCGACAGCAGUCACUGGGCAGAGUCGGUCACACAGGAUUCUUUAUUUUAGCGAGAGGAAGAGAGAAACAAGCAGACUGUGGCCUGAGCUCAAAGUCGAAGCCUGGUGUGGGGCUCAUUCUCACCAGCCCGAGAUCACAACCUGAGCUGAAAUCAAGAAUCGGGCAUUUGACUGCACCUCCCAGGUACCACUAAGUUAUUUAUCACAUUCCUGAGAAAGGCUGCCUGGUUUUAACUAGAGUUGAUGCAAAUCGUCCUUAAAAUUCACCGAUUUGGUAGGCUGUAUUUUUCCACAUAUUGUAAUAGCCAGUGUUUCCUGAGCUCUUCCUAGGUCUUGACUAGUGUGUUUAAAUGCUUUACAUUUAAUCCUCACAUCAGCCUUUUGUGAAAUGACAUCCGUAAGGUUCCACAGUAACCGUGGAGCCCAGCUUUGUUUUCCUGGGCUCUUGUGUAGAAGUUAAAUAGUUCUCCUUAAUAGGACUUACUAAUAUGUGACUUCCAACACGUACAGUUUCUGCAUCAGAUUUGGUAUGCUGAAAAUAAGGAUCUUAGAUUCCAUUUUGUCAACUUUUUCCCCCCACAUAAAAUUAGUUUACUGUCUAGGGAAAUGACCUAUUAGUCCAUUGUGAAACCAUUUUUGGAUGAUCUGGAUGUUUGGUUCAAAUCUCAGGACAUUUUACUUUCUCCCUCAUAACUGAAAAAUCAGAGCUGUAAUUAAUCCCUUCCUCGAAAAUUCAAGGAAGAGAAUGCCUUGAAAAUACUUGCUUUUGACUGAUGAAUAACUCAGAAAAAGGUUAGGUAGGCAUUCUUUAUUUACAUCCGUAAAAUGUAGCAGUUGUAUUGACAGAUGAAUGAUAUUCAUUAUAAUGACAAAGUAUGACGGCAAAAGUGUAGGAACUCAAUUACUGGCAGAAAUAGCUUAAAUAUUAUAUAGGAUUAAAUCUAAAAUUCUGUUGAUAAUGUGCUAACUACAUGUAUGCAUAGAUCUCAUUAUAAAAUUUUUGACAUUUUCCAAGUUUAGUAGCCCACGUUUUUC